UUUGAUUUGUUUUAAAUUCGUGUUCUAAUAUCUUGUAACUUGAUUCAAUCAAGGGAUUGAAUCGAGGGGUUAAGGUUUGUUGGUGAGCCAAAGGGAAAACCAACAUUGUAAGGUUGUGGUUGGUGAGCCUUUGGGAAAACCAACUGGGUUGAUUGUGAACCCGGAAAACAAUCGUUGUAAGGUUGUGGUUGGUGAGCCUUUGGGAAAACCAACUGGGUUG
Molecule: long non-coding RNA, 220 nt
Filed under: Phoenix dactylifera (date palm)
Lineage: Eukaryota; Viridiplantae; Streptophyta; Magnoliopsida; Arecales; Arecaceae
Description: long non-coding RNA (PDAC_LNC020155)
Source: RNAcentral